GGAUGUAGGACAGAAAUUGUUGAUGCGCGAUCUAAAGGUUCAUACUGCGUUGAAGCUGCUUCAGUUGCCAGAUCAGCCCAUCUGUAACAUUAUCGGAUCAAGGGCUCCAGAAUAGAAGAAUGGAAAAUAACUUGCUUCUUUGUAUGAACUGUUUUGAGCACAAUUAGGUUCUUUUUUUUGGUUUGUUUUUCAUACCUGAGUGAUUCAGGCGUUACUUGUCCUACUGGUAGGAUGAAUUGUAGCCAGAGACACCUAUUUUACCUCAGAAAGGAAUGUUUAAUUUUGAGCAGGCAGAUGCUACAGCUAGAUGCACUUGCAAAGGUUCCCAAGUAUGGUCUUGUAGUAUUCAC
This 350-nucleotide long non-coding RNA is filed under the name Sorghum bicolor (sorghum). Its description in RNAcentral is "long non-coding RNA (SBIC_LNC009389)". Lineage: Eukaryota; Viridiplantae; Streptophyta; Magnoliopsida; Poales; Poaceae. The record is from RNAcentral.